Mercurialis annua (annual mercury) is the source of this 759-nucleotide long non-coding RNA. RefSeq lists it as uncharacterized. NCBI's taxonomy places the organism in Eukaryota, Viridiplantae, Streptophyta, Magnoliopsida, Malpighiales, Euphorbiaceae. The transcript is spliced from 2 exons. The record is from RefSeq and is a predicted model, not a curated record.
AUAAAAUUUAUGGGAUUCUAAACUUUUUUUUGUUCUUUUUGAGUAAUCUUAGUAGUUAAUUAUAUCUUGUUUAAAAAUAUAGAAGUCUAAAUACGAAAAAUGAAGAAUGAGUAUUUCAUGAUUCUUUAAUUUUUUUAAAAAAUCUAAACAUUAAUAAUUUCUUAAUGUCUGCUGGAGUAAUAUUCAGUUGUGUUUCUGUGAAAGCUACUUUAAUACCAAGCCCAUUCAUAUGGAUUAUAAGGGCAGAUGAUGUUAUAAAAAGAUGGAACGAUAAUUCAGCCUAGAACGUCACCAGUUUAAAGGCGAACUGAUAGUAGAAAUCGUUACUAUCAGGAAUAGACAUUAACGAAGGAAACGUGUUGGACCCUAAAGAAAUCUAAGGCUGAAACUGGAUUGAAUGCAUAUGAAGGAAAACUAAGGGAAAUAUGUGCCAAAUUGGGCUGUAGGAAACAUUCCGGCCGAGACAGCUCUGAAAAAUGAAAAUUAAUUAGUUAUUAAAAAAAAUAAAAAAUUACAGUUGCUGGAGUACACUCACCGGCAAGAGGGAAGGACAGAAAGACUCACCGGCAAGAGGGAAUGGCCAGAAAUGAACCGGUCAAACGUGAAUAACGCACGCUGGCGCACUUCUGCAUCGAUUACUGAGUCUUUAGAACCUUUAGCGAGCUCAGCCGCCACUAGCCAUCUCAGUUUGACAAAUUUUGGGUCACCAUGUUUUUUGUUGUUCCACCUUUCUAGUUGAUCCUCAAGUUUCUCGUUAAA